GAUGAAGAACGUAGCAAAAUGCGAUAAGUAAUGUGAAUUGCAGAAUUCAGUGAAUCAUCGAAUCUUUGAACGCACAUUGCGCCCGCCAGUAUUCUGGCGGGCAUGCCUGUUCGAGCGUCAUUUCAACCCUCAAGCCCCCGGGCUUGGUGUUGGGGAUCGGCGAGCCUCCGCGCCCGCCGUCCCCUAAAUCUAGUGGCGGUCUCGCUGUAGCUUCCUCUGCGUAGUAGCACACCUCGCACUGGGAAACAGCGCGGCCACGCCGUUAAACCCCCAACUUCUGAACGUUUGACCUCGGAUCAGGUAGGAAUACCCGCUGAACUUAAGCAUAUCAAUAAGCGGAGGA
RNAcentral lists this unclassified non-coding RNA (343 nucleotides) under soil metagenome. Its description in RNAcentral is "partial contains 5.8S ribosomal RNA, internal transcribed spacer 2, and large subunit ribosomal RNA". The stretch from base 1 to 120 matches the Rfam family "5.8S ribosomal RNA", at positions 35 to 154 of the family's 154-position model. The record is from RNAcentral.